CAGGCCCUUUUAGCGGCGGACUGGUGAGUAACGCGUGGGCGAUCUGCCUUUGGGCUUGGGGACAGCCAGCUGGAAACAGCGGGUAAUACCGAAUACGCUGGGGCCGCUAAGGCGGCUUCAGGAAAGGGGCUGAGUGCCCCGCCCAAAGAUGAGCCCGCGUCCCAUUAGCUAGUCGGCGGGGUAACGGCCACCGAGGCGAAGAUGGGUAGCCGGCCUGAGAGGGCGAACGGCCACACUGGGACUGAGAUACGGCCCAGACUCCUACGGGAGGCAGCAGCUAAGAAUAUUCCGCAAUGGGCGAAAGCCUGACGGAGCGACGCCGCGUGGAUGACGAAGUGCCGAAAGGUUGUAAAAUUCUUUUGCGGGCGAAGAAGAAGCAUAGGAGGGAAUGCCUGUGCGGUGACGCCGGCCCGCGAAUACGCCCCGGCUAAAUAC
This 435-nucleotide ribosomal RNA is filed under the name uncultured bacterium. RNAcentral describes it as "bacterial SSU rRNA". It matches the Rfam family "Bacterial small subunit ribosomal RNA", at positions 83 to 504 of the family's 1533-position model. The record is from RNAcentral.